CCUCUUCGAGAUGAUGAGGUAAUUGUGUAUCUCCUUGCUGGUCUUGGUCCCGAUUAUGAUUCCUUUGUCACAUCUAUGACAACCAAGGAUGCCCUCACUCUUGAUGAUGUAUACGCCCAUCUAAUGACGUUUGAAGC
Molecule: non-coding RNA, 137 nt
Organism: Zea mays
Lineage: Eukaryota; Viridiplantae; Streptophyta; Magnoliopsida; Poales; Poaceae
Source: Rfam